GUGGGCGUAGCUCAGUUGGUAGAGUUCUGGAAUGUGGCUCCAGAUGUCGCGGGUUCGAGUCCCGUCGCUCACCCCA
Molecule: transfer RNA, 76 nt
Filed under: Nitrospinaceae bacterium
Lineage: Bacteria; Pseudomonadati; Nitrospinota; Nitrospinia; Nitrospinales; Nitrospinaceae
Description: tRNA-His
Rfam family: tRNA
About the family: Transfer RNA (tRNA) molecules are approximately 80 nucleotides in length.
Source: RNAcentral